Molecule: ribosomal RNA, 807 nt
Filed under: Daejeonella sp.
Lineage: Bacteria; Pseudomonadati; Bacteroidota; Sphingobacteriia; Sphingobacteriales; Sphingobacteriaceae
Description: bacterial SSU rRNA
Rfam family: Bacterial small subunit ribosomal RNA
Source: RNAcentral
ACAAUGGAGAGUUUGAUCCUGGCUCAGGAUGAACGCUAGCGGCAGGCCUAAUACAUGCAAGUCGAACGAUACCAGAGAGCUUGCUUUCUGGGAAAGUGGCGCACGGGUGCGUAACGCGUAUGCAACCUACCUUAAUCAGGGGGAUAGCCUCUCGAAAGAGAGAUUAACACCGCAUAAAAUCACAAGCUGGCAUCAGCAAAUGAUCAAAUAUUUAUAGGAUUAAGAUGGGCAUGCGUGACAUUAGUUUGUUGGUGAGGUAACGGCUCACCAAGACUACGAUGUCUAGGGGAUCUGAGAGGAUGACCCCCCACACUGGUACUGAGACACGGACCAGACUCCUACGGGAGGCAGCAGUAAGGAAUAUUGGUCAAUGGGGGCAACCCUGAACCAGCCAUGCCGCGUGCAGGAAGACGGCCCUACGGGUUGUAAACUGCUUUUAUACGGGAAUAAAUCGCGCUACGUGUAGCGUGUUGAAUGUACUGUAAGAAUAAGGAUCGGCUAACUCCGUGCCAGCAGCCGCGGUAAUACGGAGGAUCCAAGCGUUAUCCGGAUUUAUUGGGUUUAAAGGGUGCGUAGGCGGCCUAUUAAGUCAGGGGUGAAAGACGGUGGCUCAACCAUCGCAGUGCCCUUGAUACUGAUGGGCUUGAUUACACUUGAGGUAGGCGGAAUGUGACAAGUAGCGGUGAAAUGCAUAGAUAUGUCACAGACCACCAAUUGCGAAGGCAGCUUACUAAGGUGUUAAUGACGCUGAGGCACGAAAGCGUGGGGAUCAAACAGGAUUAGAUACCCUGGUAGUCCACGCCCUAA